UUGUCUACACAGCAAAAUCUGUAGUGUGAAAUUGUGUUACUUUUCCAGUGUAAAUUAUUUUGUGUUGACGGGUGUUAAUUUUGGUGUUGUUUGAACACCAGCAGUGUUGAAAAAGCUCUGGGGGCGGUGCUCCAUAAACGAGUUGACUGCCUACACUUUUUCCUGAGUUAUUCCUACAUCCGGUUUUAUCGCGCCCAUUUUCUCGGAGGCCUGUGUGGCAGGUGGAAGACCUAUCUGCAAGUUCGAAAGGUUCUGAGACAUGCCAUUAUGUUGCUGAAGGUGAGAUACCAUGGUACCAAGAAGUAUAUCUGAUUGCCCUCUGAUUUCACCUAUUUGGAUUUUAUCAGUGAAGUCAAAAACAAGUUUGGGAUUCCCAGUGCAUCCGAACUGUACAUUUUUGAUGAAAGUAACACAGCCGUGGAGGAAGACAUCCUUCUUGAACUGAUGGAGGCCAAUCCUGACUUAUGUCUGACAGUAUGUGACGGCGAGUCUGAUGAAGUCAUGCUGCAGCAUUGAUGAACAUCUGCGAGGAAGAGAGGGCAAACAACCUUACAUCCUUGCUGUUGGCCGGGCUCAGAAGAGGGUCGACACAUUCUACAUCGUUGUGGACAAGCAGCUGAUCCCCUGCCAAGCCACCAGAUCCUUGGGUGCCUUUGAUGAGCUCUUCAAGUCUCACUAUGUGUUCAAUGUUUCUUAUGAUGGUUCCCUGGUCCAUUUCUACACAUUUGUGCAGACAACAGUCUACAGCAUUGACAUCACAACAACAAACGAGUCUCCAAGAGUUCGUGAGUUUCGGGCAAAGCUUUUCAACUAGGUUAAAUGUUUAAAUGUUUCAUUUGUCAGGCUUAUUCUACUAACUGGGUCAAAAUCAGUGGGACAGAGUACAAAGUUGGACUGAUCAUUUGCAGUGAGAUUGCAAACGAAAUGCCUGUGUUUUGCAGAAUACAGAAGGUUGUAUUAUUCAGAGGUAUUAUCUACUUCCUAGUGGACAACCUGGUGGUUGACCAUUUCAGUGAGCAUUUUCAUGCCUACAAAGUAUUUGAAAGUGAUGAGAAAGAUGUGAUUGUUUAUUAUAAGCCCUUCGAUAUACAAAGUGCCUAUGGUGAAGAUGAAAGCCUAUAUAUUGUACCCCUGUUUUCUUUGUAACUGUGCUCAUGUUUAAGUUAAGGUGCUUGGACAAUUUUGAGUAAAGAUUUUAAAAUGA
Astyanax mexicanus (Mexican tetra) is the source of this 1204-nucleotide long non-coding RNA. RefSeq lists it as uncharacterized. NCBI's taxonomy places the organism in Eukaryota, Metazoa, Chordata, Actinopteri, Characiformes, Acestrorhamphidae. The record is from RefSeq and is a predicted model, not a curated record. The transcript has 4 exons.